UUUUAAUGAUUUAAGAAAAAUGAAGCUUAAUCUGUUUAGAAAUUCAUUUACUAAUUCGAUGUGAUUUAAGCAAUUCAAGAUGUCAAUAAGUUUACAAAUAAUCCAAGUAUAGCAUGUUUUUGGGUCCUAGACUACCCGGACAAUAGCAUAAUAGUAUCUAUGCACGGACUCUCGUCACCUCGUGCAUACAUAGCCCCCACAAAUAGUAGCACAUAACCAAUUAACUCACCUAUGGGGACAAUUCCCUCUUACAAGGUUAGAAAGGAGACUCACCUCGCUCCGAAGAUCCAUAACCGGCAUUCCACGCUCUUCCGAAGACUCAAAUUGAUGCACGACGCUCCAAAACUAGCCAAUAAUAAUACCAAUCCAUCAAUAUAUACUCAAUUACCCCUAAUGAUCCAAUUUAUAACAACCCCUAACCCCGAUCGAAAAGUUGACAAAUACGACCUUGGGCCCACGUGCCCGGAUUCCAAAAAAUUUCGAAGAUAAACUUUAACCAUAACCUCAUGAACUCAAAUAUAUAAUUUACUCUCAAUUUAAUACCCAAAAUCAUGGUCAAAUUCCAAGAAUAUUAAUUUUCUAGGUUUUCCCUCAAACCCCAAGUUUUCUACAAAUUUCAUGCUCAAAUCCGUACAUAAUCAAUGUAUUUAACUCAAGAUAGGUGGGGAUAGCUUACCUUAUCAUUGAUGAUGAAAAUCCCCUCUUGAAGCCCUCCAAAAUCGCCCAAAGUAGAGAAAAAUGGGUGAAAUGAACUCAACCCCGCUUUUUAAAACAUUCUACCCAGCGACUUCCGCACCUGCGGACCCUUGACAGCUUCUGCGGUUCUGCAGGUGCGGCACUUCUACCGCUUCUGCAGUUCUGCAGGUGCGGCACUUCUAUCGCUUCUGCAGAUAUCUCACCAGGCCCUCCCCUCCGCUUCUGUGAUUCAACCGCCCAGGUGCGGUUCUGCUUCUUCAGCUUCUCCACCACAUCUGCGGUCCCCUUCACGUUGGUCCAAACCGCAUCUGCAGCUCCUCUAGCCGCUUCUGCGGUUCCGCACCUGCGGCCCAAUUCUCGCAGGUGCGCUUAUGACAGCAACCAACAACUUUAGCCUUCCAAAAAUUCCAUUUUCGAUCUGUUAACCACCCGGAAUCCACCCGAGGCCUCCGGGACCCCAACCAGUCCCAAAAUACAUUAUGGACUUGCUCGAGGUCUCAAAUCAUAUCAAACAACGCUAAAAUCACGAAUCGACCUCCAAUCCAAGCUUUAUGAACUUUAGAAUUUCAAACUUCUACUUUCGAUGUUUAAACCUAUCUAUUCACGUCCGAUUGACCCCAAAUUUUGCACACAAGCCAUAUUUGACGUUACGGACCUGCUCCAACUUCCGGAAUUAGAUUCUGAUCCCAAUAUCAAAAAGUCCACUUCCGGUCAAACUUUCUCAAAAACCUUCAAUUUUCUAUCUUUAGCCAAAUGGCUCCAAAAUGACCUACGGACCUCCGAAUUCACUUCCGAUCGCGCUCCCAAUUCCAGAAUCAUCAUACGGAGCUACUCCAAGACUCAGAAUCCCAAACGGACGUCGAUAAUACUAAAAUGCACUUCAAGCCAAAGUUAUGAAAUUUCUUCCAAAAUGCUAACUUCCACAAUAGGUGCCAAAAUGCUCCCAGGUCAUCCAAAACUCGAUCCGGGCAUACUUCCAAGUCCGAAAUUAUCAUACGAACCUGCUGGAACCUUCAGAUCCCGAUUCCGAGGUUGUUUACUCUGAAAUCCAAUCUUAGUUAAUUCUUCCAACUUAAAGCUUCCGAAAUGAGAAUUCUCUUUCCAAAUCAACUCUGAACUUCCCAAAAUUCAAUUCUGACCACACGUACAAGUCAUAAUACCUGAAAUAAAGUUGCUCAUGGCCUCAGACUGCUGAACGACAUGCUAGAGAUCAAAACGACCGAUCGGGUCGUUACACAUUCGACCCUCAAGUUUUUUGAAUUGCAAGCUGGACCUUAGGCUCUUACGCACCAGUUCGGUGAAACCUCCAAUUUUAGCACUAGCGACAAUGGCUCUUAUGCAUUUGGUUGGUGCAACCUUCAAUUUUAGUGCUGGCAACAGUGGCUCUUACGCUUUUGCUCUUAGGCAUAUUUAGUUAACUAUUAUGGGUUCAGUCUCCGAAUCGGGUUUCAACUCGAGCUCAUUCGACCCUCAAGUUUUUAAACUUCAAAAUGGACCUUAGGCUCUUACGUGUUGGGUCAGUACAACUUUUAUGUGGGCUGGUAAUAGUGGCUCUUAUGCCUUGGGUCGAUGAGACCUCUUAUGUGGGCUGGCGACAGUUGCUCUUACUCCUUGGGUCGAUGCGACCUUUUAUGUGGGCUAGACAAUGGCUCUUACGCCUUGGGUCGAUGCGACCUUUUAUGUAGGCUUUCUUUUUCCCUCGUUAAGGAUUAGUUUGCCUGACUCUUCAACGGUUUAAUAAAAAAACCUCGAUUGUGAGUCAUUAUAUGGCAAUGAUCGAGCACCUUGGGAGGUUUGGCUCGGAGGCUGAGUAUUUUGAAACCCGUGUUUAGGAGCUGGCAUAGUCGAAGCUCUUUUGCCUAUGUCGAGGGUAGCCUAUUUAACGAGUUCUUUUCGAAGUAUAUUCGAUGUAAUUGAAGGCAUGUGAUUUUAUAGCGACGGUCGGGCGUCCUCGAGUCGCGUUAGUUUGGCUGGUACAGCCUUAUGACCGUAGUCAUUUGUGUUUGGCAGAGCCUUUAAGUCCAGAAUGAAGUAGUUUCGGCGUAUAUAUUGAGGGUAUGCCUUUUUAGGGGUCUUACAAGUUCGAUAUAUAGCCUUAGCUUUGAGAUCGGGUUUAUGCCGUUAGUAAGGUCUUACAAGUUUUACAUGCCUUUGAGGUCUUACAGUUUUGGAUACUUCGUACAAGUAUGGUUCAUGCCUUGCUUGAGGUCUUAUAGAUAUUAUUGUUGCCUUAUACAGGUCUUACGAGACCGAGGCUAUCCGCAUGUGGUCUUAUGGCCUCGGGCUUUGAUAAGUUGAUGGAGAAGUCUAUUGACGACAGUACCCGAGUCAUCGGGGAUUUCUUGGCUCAAGAGCCAUUACUUAUAAACUUGGUAUUGCCUCAUCAAGGGCUUAAGAUUUCGGAGUUUCCAACCCGAAGGUCACGUGGCCUUGAGUUUUCGAUGCCAGUCCCCGCGUGUUCAGGACGUUUUUGGCUCUGGAGUUCUUUUGUGAUCUCGUUGUUGCCUCAUUGCGGGUUCACGAGUUUGAAGCUCUAACCUGGGGAUCGUACUGUUCCGAGUUGUUGAUGCCAGUCCCCGAGUAUUCGGGAUGUUUUUUGGCUCUAGGACCAUUUUUUGCAAAAAUGUCGAGCUUCCUUGAAACGUAAAAUGCUUUUAGGAAGUAUUCUUUGAUUACUUGGUACAAGUAUACUUGCCUUUGUUGUUAGGGUCUCGGUUGUAUUAUGCGAACACGGUUCGUUUGACUGUUUGGCCCGCUACAUUAUUUUCCUAUCAAGAUCCCACUUAGCGUUUCUAGGCUUCUCCGAGUAGGUGACCUUCCGAGGGGAUGCCCCUCAGUGUUUGAGGUUGAUUGCAAAAGAAGCCUUGAAUACUUGUUGAGUCUUCCUUAGGUAGCAUAUGGAUGUUGCCUUGUUAAAAACCUUGUAGGUAAAACCGUUCUUGGGAUAAAAACUCGGUCGAAGGAAAAGAGUGCAACGCAUGCUUUUUGAAACCUAAGGCCUUUGAGUUAGAAAGUGCUUUGGCCAUUUCAAUCGGAUACCUACGUUCAAGUUAGUGUAGAAUUUAAUUGAAAAAAAAGAGGCUGUCAUACCUUAGUGUAGGAUGUGCCGGUGGUGUUUUGAUCCCUGAUAUGUUUCAAUCGCUUGUGAUGAAGACACGGUACGAUCCUCUGCUUUGUUCAUUCGAGUACAGCCAAGAGUGUAGCUUGUUAUCGCUAUUUUGUUGUUUGCUUAUCCUUCGGCUCCUUUGAAGGUGGAGGUACCGGUGUCGGGGCCACAUCGUGGACCGUGAACAUUUCUCUCGCCACAUGUUGUUCCCCGUUGAUGGUCUUAAUCCCAUCCUUUGUCAGGAAUUUCAUCAUUUGAUGGAGGGUGUAUGGUACUGCUCUCAUGAAGUGUAUCCAUGGCACUCCAAGCAAGGCGUUGUACCUCAUGUCUCCCUCGAUGACAUGGAAUUUGGCAUUUUGGGUUGUGCCAGCCACAUUAACUAGGAGGGUGAUUUCCCCUUUCGUUGUUUUCUCAAGCAGUCCAAGCUGCUCUACCACCCUCGACCUGAUAAUGUUAGCCGAGCUACCUGGAUCCACAAUUACACGUUUAAUUUGAAAUGUAUUUACAAGAAAAGAGAUUACUAGUGCAUCGUUGUGAGGCUGAGACAAGGUCUCGAUGUCCUCGUCGCUGAAUAUGAGAGCAUCCUCGGGUAUGUAUCCCCGAGUUCGCUUUUCUCUUGUGAUGGAUAUUUUUGUUCUUCUCAUCAUGGGCUCCUACGGGGCAUCAAUGCCUCCCAAUAUCAUGUGGAUGACAUGUUGUGGCUCAUUCAUUUCGUACUUCUUGGCCGCCUCUCAUUUCUGGAAAUGAUUUUUGGCCCGGUCGCUAGUAAACUCUCGGAGAUGACCUUUACUGAGUAGUCUGGAUACUUCUUCUCAGUGUUGGUGGCUAUCCUCGGUCCAGUGGCCGUGCAUGUUGUGGAAUUCAGACACUAAAUUAUGAUUACUUUGCAAAGGAUCUGAUUGCACAGGCCUGGGCUACCUGGCGUCUUUGAUUUUACUGAUGGCGAACAUGAUGUCUGAUACAUCGAUAUUAAAGUUGUAUUCCGACAAGCGAGGUGCCUCCGUUGGCCCUGUAUGAUUAUUGAAUCUGGCUCUGUUGAUGAGUCCUUGAGGAUUCUGGCAUCGAUCCAUCCUUCGGUCAUUGCAGGGUAUGUUACGCCUCGGGGCAUUUCUCCUAUCGUCAGUAUAUGGCUGGUACCUUUCCUUGUUUGGCUUUGGCUCAUUUUCCAGAAAACUGCUUGGGUAUACCGAGCCCGGGGGGAUCCUAGUUGGUCGUCCUUGACCCUGAUUUUCGAUUGAUAUUGGUUGUGAAUGUCCGACCAGGUCACAAUGGGAUAUUCGAUCAAAUUCUUUUUCAGCUGCUUCGAAGCCACCGAGCUUUGUCCAUUCAGACCUUGAGUGAAGGCCUGUACUGCCCAGUCGUCGGAGACUGGUGGUAGUUCCAUUCAUUCCAUUUGAAAGCGAGAUACGAACUCUCGCAACAUCUCGUUCUCCCUCUCCUAGAUUUUGAAGACGUCUGACUUCCUAGUUGCUACUUUGAUGGCACCGGCAUGUGCCUUUAUGAAAGAAUCUGCCAGUAUGGCAAAUGAGUCUAUGGAGUUAGGAGCUAGGUUGUGAUACCACAUCAUGGACCCUUUCGAGAGUGUUUCCCCAAACCUUUUUAGCAAGACAGACUCGAUCUCGUCGUCAUUUAGGUCGUUUCCCUUCACUGCACAAGUGUAAGCAGUAACGUGCUCAUUGGGGUCUGAGGCCCAUUGUGUUUCGGAAGGUUCGGCAUACUAAACUUCUUCAGAAUGGGUUUUGGAGCUGCUUCUUCUAGGAACGACCUUUGUAUAAACUUCUUUGAAUCUACACCUUUCAGGAUCAGGGGUGCGCCCGGAAUUUGGUCGACCCAGGAGUUGUAGGUCUCGAUAUUUUUGUCGUUGGCUUCUAUCUUCUUCUCGCCCGAUUUGAUCCUCUUUGUAAGGUCCUAGAGCAUAUUUACGAUGGCGGGGUCGGUUGUCGACCCGUUGUUGCUUGAUCUCUCUGGUACCUGCUCGGCUGGGGGAACCGUCCCCGAUGCUACCGUGUUGGGAGUUUUCUGGUGACUUUGCAGCUGAGAAAUCACUAGCUGUUAUGCCUUAAACAUUUCAAAAAUAACGUGAUGGUUAACCUCCUGUUCUUCCCUAUCCGGGGUUUCCUAAGCUUCUUGUUGGUCUUCUUGGUACACGCUCUUGUAAGUGUGGGAGCUUAUAUCGACGUGUUGGGCAUCACGUGAGACCGCGUACAUGGGAAUUGGUUCUGGUGCGUUCUUAGGGUUUCGUGGUGGUACACCAACACCUGGAAUAUCCACACCAUUUUCUCCAUGGUUCUUAAGAUUGUUGUUCACCGAAUCAGGCAUUUUGGCCUGAAAUCAAAGAUCUUGGGCAAGAAAAAGUGUGAAAGAUAACUUAUGUUACGUAGUAAAACCAGCAAGAAAAUAAUCACUAUAAUUCUUAGCCCCAUGGUGGGCGCCAAACUAUUUACCGUAAAAAUGGUAACAACAAUUAAAUUUGAUUUAGUGGUUCUAAAAAUAUGUGAUAUAUUUUUAUGCUAGUUGUUAAGCAGUUGAUGCUAUGUGAAAGACUUUGAAAUGAGAUAAGAGCUUGAAAGCAAGGUGAUAACCAAACCGAAUGAUUAAUAAUCAGGGCCUCGGGCUUGCCUAUUUGAGGGUCUCGGGGUGGAGUCUGGAGCUCGGCUGGGAACUAUCAAGGGUAAUCGAUGGGUGACUAACAGUAGUAAUAAAUUAAUGACGGCUCUUUAUGAACAAUAAUAAGCAAUAAAUGAUGAACAAUAAAUAGAACACAAUAAGUAUAAGCAAUAAAUGAAGCAAUGAGAUCAAGAGAAUAUGUUAGAGAGCAGAGAGAAUGUUCUUGUGUGUUUUAUAUUGAGCAGCGGAUGUUUACAAAAUGCCAAGGAUCCCCUUUAUAUAUGAGGGGGGAAUCCAACAUAGUACAAAAAAGCAUUAAUUACAAAGAUAGGGAGAUGGUACAACUAGUUAAUGCCUUGAUUCAUUUUUGGACCAGUCCACUAGACUUUGUCAGCCAUAUUCAUGCGCCUUGGGAAUUUCUCACUUUUUCAUCAUAUCCGCCGAACUGUACUGUCUCGAGGCCGACGUUGAUAGCCCCUCAAAAGUCAAUCUCAACCAUACCUCGAGCCUCUGAAAACAUGCUUACGAGGCACCAUGAUGACGGAAAGUCGGACCUUUCGAUUUUACCAUAUACAAUUAUUUAUUUUAUUUCAGAGUCACCACUUGGGAUAAUUUUAUGGUAUCCCAAGUCACCGGUUUAUUUUAAAUCCCAAAUCGAGAAAAUUGACUCUAUUUUUGGUCCUCGAACACAGAAGACCAGGUAAGAAAUUUUGUUAACCUGGGAGAAGGUGUGAGGCACUCCCGAGUUCCGUGGUUUUAGCACGGUCGCUCAACUAUUAAUAUUUGGCCUAAUUAUUUGAUUUAUUACAUGUUUUAAACCUAUUGUUCAUUUUUAACUUUAUAACCGCUUUUAUUUAUUUAUGGAAUUAUUUCUGGAACAAGUGACAAUGUCGUACACUUGUCGUUUUGGUACACAUUGCAAACCGUGUCAUAUGAAAUGCACCCGCAAUUUAUGACAUGUUUAUUUUAUUAUUAUUAUUAUUCAAAGUUGUGGUCGGGUCACAUGAAAUGCACACCCCAAUUGGGGAUUAUGUAUCGUAACUAUGCCACGGGAGUCGUACCCAUAGCCACGAUGAUUUAUUAAUCACGCCUAAAGCAAGCUAUGAUGUUCAUGAUUUUUCUAAAACUAAUUUUGAGAUUAUUGCUUAUCGGCUCCUUUAUCCAAAAUUAUUCAUUUAUCCCAAGUAAUUAUCUGAACAACCAAACAGUCGAGAAUAGAUAAGUUUUCACCGUAAACCUUAUGGCCCAUAUAUUUCUUAUACACGUACAGAAUCCCCAACCCAAUUAACAUAACCAAUUCAACCAAGCCAAUCUUUCUAUUAGUCCAUUAAACCCUCUCACUACUCUAAUAUUUUAGCUAAUAAUAAAAAAACGAAUGAUCAAAUGCAUUUAUCAUAUUAUGGACUAAUUUCUCACAGAGAACCACGAAAACACAAAAGAUAAAUAAGUAAACAAUUUAAGAUACCCAUUUUAACAUGCUAGUUCAGAGAUAAACAGUGAUAGACAUAGACCAAAAAUUUAGCAUAAGAUUUAAGAGCAACAUUAUAUCCUUACGCAUAAAACAAAAAGAAAAUAUAGGAACCAGAGAAGGAAGGACCUUUUUAUUAGACUGAAUUUAAACUUUGUUUGUUGGACAAAUUGAAACUUAAAGAGCGACCGGGCCACGAACAAGCACCUCGAUCGGAGCUCGACUGACAAAAAAUAGAUCUCAUCUCAAAUGGACCUCUCAAACUCGGAUUUUGGCUGGUUUAAAUGGUGAAGGAGACAAGCUGAUUUUGGCUGAAUUCUGAAGGGCCUUUGAGAUUUUAGCCACUGCUUUUGUUAAGGAGGUGGGGUUACGGGGUGUUGUCUUUUUAGCUGGGUUUGGAGCUUUUUUUGGGGGGGAUGGGGGUUGUUGGCUACAUGGUUCUUUAAUAGUAUGGAUAGAGCUUAUGGUUCAAUGGUUAUGGAGCAGAUCUCUUUUCUCUUCUGUUUUCACGUCCUUUUCUCCGAUCUGCUCCUCUUGUUUUCUUUGCUUUUAGCCCUUUUUAUCUUUUGUGUAGCUUUUUUACUUAUGUUCCUAGGGUUUUUUUUCUUCC
Molecule: long non-coding RNA, 8487 nt
Filed under: Nicotiana tabacum (common tobacco)
Lineage: Eukaryota; Viridiplantae; Streptophyta; Magnoliopsida; Solanales; Solanaceae
Description: long non-coding RNA (NTAB_LNC009830)
Source: RNAcentral